CACCACUCAAGCCUCGCUUGGUAUUGGGCGACGCGGUACGCCGCGCGCCUCAAAUCUUCCGGCUGGUUCGAAUCGUCCCUCAGCGUUGUGGAAACUAUUCGCUAGAAGGUGCGCGUUUCGGUCACGCCGUUAAACAAACCAAAUUCAUUAAA
This 152-nucleotide unclassified non-coding RNA is filed under the name uncultured Capnodiales. RNAcentral's name for it is "sequence contains ITS2". The record is from RNAcentral. Lineage: Eukaryota; Fungi; Ascomycota; Dothideomycetes; Capnodiales.